RNAcentral lists this ribosomal RNA (873 nucleotides) under Bacillus sp. b221. RNAcentral's name for it is "bacterial SSU rRNA". It matches the Rfam family "Bacterial small subunit ribosomal RNA". Lineage: Bacteria; Bacillati; Bacillota; Bacilli; Caryophanales; Bacillaceae. The record is from RNAcentral.
AGGGGGGGGGGGCCUUAUACAUGCAAGUCGAGCGGACUUCAGGGAGCUUGCUCCCUGAAGUCAGCGGCGGACGGGAGAGUAACACGUGGGCAACCUGCCUGUAAGACUGGGAUAACUCCGGGAAACCGGGGCUAAUACCGGAUAACUCUUUUCCUCACAUGAGGAAAAGCUGAAAGAUGGCAUCUCGCUAUCACUUACAGAUGGGCCCGCGGCGCAUUAGCUAGUUGGUGAGGUAACGGCUCACCAAGGCCACGAUGCGUAGCCGACCUGAGAGGGUGAUCGGCCACACUGGGACUGAGACACGGCCCAGACUCCUACGGGAGGCAGCAGUAGGGAAUCUUCCGCAAUGGACGAAAGUCUGACGGAGCAACGCCGCGUGAGUGAUGAAGGUUUUCGGAUCGUAAAACUCUGUUGUCAGGGAAGAACAAGUACCGGAGUAACUGCCGGUACCUUGACGGUACCUGACCAGAAAGCCACGGCUAACUACGUGCCAGCAGCCGCGGUAAUACGUAGGUGGCAAGCGUUGUCCGGAAUUAUUGGGCGUAAAGCGCGCGCAGGCGGUUCCUUAAGUCUGAUGUGAAAGCCCCCGGCUCAACCGGGGAGGGUCAUUGGAAACUGGGGAACUUGAGUGCAGAAGAGAAGAGUGGAAUUCCACGUGUAGCGGUGAAAUGCGUAGAGAUGUGGAGGAACACCAGUGGCGAAGGCGACUCUUUGGUCUGUAACUGACGCUGAGGCGCGAAAGCGUGGGGAGCAACAGGAUUAGAUACCCUGGUAGUCCACGCCGUAAACGAUGAGUGCUUAGUGUUAGAAGGCUUUCCCGCCCUUUAGUGCUUGCAGACAAAAGCCGCCAUGGUAAGAGCACCUCCCGGCCCC